This 468-nucleotide ribosomal RNA is filed under the name uncultured bacterium. RNAcentral's name for it is "partial 16S ribosomal RNA". It matches the Rfam family "Bacterial small subunit ribosomal RNA", at positions 28 to 507 of the family's 1533-position model. The record is from RNAcentral.
GACGAACGCUGGCGGCGUGCUUAACACAUGCAAGUCGAACGGAAAGGCCCUGCUUUUGUGGGGUGCUCGAGUGGCGAACGGGUGAGUAACACGUGAGUAACCUGCCCUUGACUUUGGGAUAACUUCAGGAAACUGGGGCUAAUACCGGAUAGGAGCUCCUGCUGCAUGGUGGGGGUUGGAAAGUUUCGGCGGUUGGGGAUGGACUCGCGGCUUAUCAGCUUGUUGGUGGGGUAGUGGCUUACCAAGGCUUUGACGGGUAGCCGGCCUGAGAGGGUGACCGGCCACAUUGGGACUGAGAUACGGACCAGACUCCUUCGGGAGGCAGCAGUGGGGAAUAUUGCACAAUGGGCGGAAGCCUGAUGCAGCAACGCCGCGUGCGGGAUGACGGCCUUCGGGUUGUAAACCGCUUUCGCCUGUGACGAAGCGUGAGUGACGGUAAUGGGUAAAGAAGCACCGGCUAACUACGUG